This is a long non-coding RNA of Syzygium oleosum, 654 nucleotides long. RefSeq lists it as uncharacterized. The record is from RefSeq and is a predicted model, not a curated record. Lineage: Eukaryota; Viridiplantae; Streptophyta; Magnoliopsida; Myrtales; Myrtaceae. The transcript has 2 exons.
AUCCAAUAUGCAGCUUCAGUGAUCGGAGGCUCAUUCAUGAUCAAAGGUAUUUCGACUUACCAUUUGUUUUGGGCUGCUACUUAUAAUGAAAUCAUUGGUAUUUUGACUUACCAUUUAGUGAUCGGAGGCUCAUUCACCUAUAAUAUUUGUUCAGCAAUGUGCAGAUCAAGAGUGAUUUGAACCUGUCAACUGGUGUGAAGUAUCAGUGUGAAGUUUCAAGAAUGAUCCGAAGGAACAAGUUCGUAUGGCGUCGUCUCACAAUUUAGUAUUUGGGUCCAGAAUGCAUGAACUCAUGCAUAUAUUGAAGAUGAUUGGGACCUGGUGAGAAGCCAGCAGCAGCACCACCAGCUACAGCACUUGCAGCUGAGUUAGUAUAUGCAACAAAAUGGGCAGAUUUCUCUUUAUCCACAGUUGGAUUUAUCUUAUAGAAUUUUAUUGGGCUUUCAGGGUAUUGAACAAGGCAAAGAAGUGAGACCCGUGAUGAAGAACACUAAAGAGUACACAAAUUUUGGUGUUCUUUGUGUCUUUAGUAACUAUGUUAGAUUAUUUUUGCCUACUUGUUUCUGUUUGUUUUGGAACUUACUGUUUCGUCCGGUAGAAAGACGGAGUUUGAUGAUUUUUAAAGUUCUAUUUAGAUCCUUGUCUUUCCAAUUA